GCAUGUUUUCAGCUGUGCAAAGAUGCAACUAUGAGAAGUUGUUUGGUUUGAACGUGAGCACAAGUGUUAAAGUCUAAGAGCGCCGUGGAUGUGAUGUGACAGUCAAGUUCAAAGGAAAAUCAAAUGCUUCCCCCUCAACUGAAAUCAAGUACUUCCCCCUCAACUGAAUGUAUGAUCUGGGUUUGUUAGAGGCCUUUAGAGGAAAGUCAGACUGCCCAAGAGAGACAUUUGUGAAAGGGUUUCAGACUCUCAGGGGGAUGAUGGUCGUUGACUGCAGGCUUAAGACAACGAUGAAGACUUCCAGGGCUACCCUAAGAUUCAUGUAGGUUUUAGGUGAGAAGAUUGUCUAUUCAGCUACACUACUCUUAUAUCCAGAGAAACUGAAAGAAAAAUCCAGUAAAAGAAUGCAGAGUCAGGAAGUGUAUCAUGAUGAAGCUGUGGGUGUACUUUCUGACUCUUAGGAUCUACGAUGAAAAUCCUAAAUAAAAGGCAAAAGAGCUCGACCUUGUUUAAGUAUUUCCACAUUCAGAACUCUUGUCAAUAUCUGUAUAAGCGGAUUACACGGCUGUCAGCACACUAAGGCCAUCUGCAAGCCACCAUUGAUAAUCCAAGUAAAGAAUGUCUGAUAAAAUCUUACACUGUGAUUUUGUUUUUUUAACUAAAAAGUCACUUCUGUGAUUGCAGAAAGUUUUGUCCCAUGCAGUCGACUGUGCUGUUUCAUAACAAUGAUAAACACACAUGGCACUUCACUACAAACUUGGAAAUACGACAUGAUUUCUGCUCUUUCGGCUGACCAGUCAUUUAUCACAGGUCAUUUACAUAGGGCUGGAUGGCUUGGUAAACUAAUCACUCACCUCCUUCAUGUAGUGCUGCGUUCUUAGUACAUCACGUGAAAUUAGUUGGAUGAUUUUAGUUCCUUCUCCUGGGAGCCACAGCCCAGUUCACAGACAAACCAAAAACAAUCUGGCUGAACCCACCAGCCUGAGCCCACAUCAGGGGACAAGAGUGUCUUUUUAUUUUUUAAGUGUACAUUAAAAAAUAUUUAUUCACUUGUUUGGCUGCGUCAGGUCACUGUCGCAGAGCACAGGCUCUCCAGUUGUGGCGCGCCGGCCUUAGAGUGCAUGGGCUUAGUUGCCCCAUGGCAUGUAGGAUCUUAGCUCUCUGACCAGGGAUCCAACCUGCGUUCCCUGCAUUGGAAGGUGGAUUCUUAACCACUGGACCAGCAGGGAAGUCCCGACAGUAGUGUCUUGAUGUUGGAUUCAUGGACAGCCAGUGAGUCAGUUCUGACUUCUGAGAAGGAAGCUUUGGCUGAGGACAGAGCUAAAAGUACAGUAAUAGAAAAAAAGUGAUGUCUGUGUGUGCAUGUGUGCAUAGGUAUACAUAUGCAUGUAUUUUUGUUUUUUAGAACUUUGCAAUGGGUUUUCAUUUUUGCUUUAUAUCUAUUACAGUGUCUGAAACCUAAAGAAAUACAUUUUCUCUUCCAAUUUGGAUGUGUGUGUAAAUAUCAUUUGUCUGGACUCAGCACACUCAAUGCCAUGGUUUCUUGGUCUCUGUCUGCUCUGAAAUCAUCAA
Lagenorhynchus albirostris (white-beaked dolphin) is the source of this 1572-nucleotide long non-coding RNA. RefSeq lists it as uncharacterized. The transcript is spliced from 4 exons. Lineage: Eukaryota; Metazoa; Chordata; Mammalia; Artiodactyla; Delphinidae. The record is from RefSeq and is a predicted model, not a curated record.